AACGAACGCUGGCGGCAUGCCUAACACAUGCAAGUCGAACGAGACCUUCGGGUCUAGUGGCGCACGGGUGCGUAACGCGUGGGAACCUGCCCUUAGGUUCGGAAUAACUCCCCGAAAGGGGUGCUAAUACCGGAUAAUGUCUUCGGACCAAAGAUUUAUCGCCUUUGGAUGGGCCCGCGUUGGAUUAGCUAGUUGGUAGGGUAAAAGCCUACCAAGGCGACGAUCCAUAGCUGGUCUGAGAGGAUGAUCAGCCACACUGGGACUGAGACACGGCCCAGACUCCUACGGGAGGCAGCAGUGGGGAAUAUUGGACAAUGGGCGAAAACCUGAUCCAGCAAUGCCGCGUGAGUGAUGAAGGCCUUAGGGUUGUAAAGCUCUUUUACCCGGGAUGAUAAUGACAGUACCGGGAGAAUAAGCGCCGGCUAACUCCGUG
RNAcentral lists this ribosomal RNA (433 nucleotides) under uncultured bacterium. RNAcentral describes it as "partial 16S ribosomal RNA". It matches the Rfam family "Bacterial small subunit ribosomal RNA", at positions 29 to 507 of the family's 1533-position model. The record is from RNAcentral.